This 254-nucleotide ribosomal RNA is filed under the name uncultured bacterium. RNAcentral describes it as "partial 16S ribosomal RNA". It matches the Rfam family "Bacterial small subunit ribosomal RNA", at positions 524 to 776 of the family's 1533-position model. The record is from RNAcentral.
CACGUAGGGUGCGAGCGUUGUCCGGAAUUAUUGGGCGUAAAGAGCUCGUAGGCGGUGUGUCGCGUCGGCCGUGAAAACCUGCAGCUUAACUGUGGGCUUGCGGUCGAUACGGGCAUCACUGGAGUUCGGCAGGGGAGACUGGAAUUCCUGGUGUAGCGGUGAAAUGCGCAGAUAUCAGGAGGAACACCGGUGGCGAAGGCGGGUCUCUGGGCCGAUACUGACGCUGAGGAGCGAAAGCGUGGGGAGCGAUCCGG